GAUGAACGCUGGCGGCGUGCCUAAUACAUGCAAGUCGAGCGAACAGACGAGGAGCUUGCUCCUCUGACGUUAGCGGCGGACGGGUGAGUAACACGUGGAUAACCUACCUAUAAGACUGGGAUAACUUCGGGAAACCGGAGCUAAUACCGGAUAAUAUAUUGAACCGCAUGGUUCAAUAGUGAGAGACGGUUUUGCUGUCACUUAUAGAUGGAUCCGCGCCGCAUUAGCUAGUUGGUAAGGUAACGGCUUACCAAGGCAACGAUGCGUAGCCGACCUGAGAGGGUGAUCGGCCACACUGGAACUGAGACACGGUCCAGACUCCUACGGGAGGCAGCAGUAGGGAAUCUUCCGCAAUGGGCGAAAGCCUGACGGAGCAACGCCGCGUGAAUGAUGAAGGUCUUCGGAUCGUAAAACUCUGUUAUUAGGGAAGAACAAAUGUGUAAGUAACUAUGCACGUCUUGACGGUACCUAAUCAGAAAGCCACGGCUAACUACGUG
This 497-nucleotide ribosomal RNA is filed under the name uncultured bacterium. Its description in RNAcentral is "partial 16S ribosomal RNA". It matches the Rfam family "Bacterial small subunit ribosomal RNA", at positions 28 to 507 of the family's 1533-position model. The record is from RNAcentral.